Rhododendron vialii is the source of this 911-nucleotide long non-coding RNA. RefSeq lists it as uncharacterized. The record is from RefSeq and is a predicted model, not a curated record. NCBI's taxonomy places the organism in Eukaryota, Viridiplantae, Streptophyta, Magnoliopsida, Ericales, Ericaceae. The transcript is spliced from 2 exons.
AAGUUAAAAGUUAUAGGCUUGCACAGAGUUUAGGAGAACUGUUAGAGAUGCUAAGUGCAAAGCUUACGACAAUCUUUACACUAGACUAGAUGGCACCAAUAGAAAACCUAUCAUUUGUAAACUUACUCGAGACUAUGAAAGCACGAGACUUCAACUUGAAUGCAUACAUCCAACACUCAAUGAAUGUGUCUUUUUUAUUUUCAGUCGAGGCAGCUGUGGCAAUCUUUCUUGAUAUUCUCUACCCCAUAUUCUAUAGUCCAACAAACUGUUGCAUUUAUGUUAGUCCUAUGUCUAGGGAUCAGCUAACAGGUGAAAUUAUCAUUACCGUAGCAUACUGUGCUUGGCUAUUGUAAAGAGGAUCCUCUUCCUUGUUUAUAAAUAAGUGAAGUAAUAAACUAUUACUCCAUGUCCAUAAUUAUUAUAAGUGAGGAUGUACCGUUUGCCCUCAUGCCUUUAUAGCCCAAUGGAGUGGUUAUUGCCUCAAUGAUUUUUAUAAUCCGUUGAAGAUAACAACCAUCUUAGUUGGACCAUAUUGACUAAAAGACUAUGUUGGUCAGUCAAUGACCUUCAAUUAAAAUAGUUAAAUGCAUUAGGCCCUGCGGGUGUGGUAGCUAUGGGAUUCAUUACGCAAUGUUUACCCGUUAACUUAAGGUCUAGGGAUCAGCUAAAAACUCCACUUUAAUUGCUUCCAAAGGUCUAGCAAAGUUACAUUGAUUUAAACUUUGAAAACAAAUCACUCAGUAAAUGAAUCCCUUGAAAACAAUUAAGGGUGGUAGCUUCACUUCACUUCUUUCUACAAUGAAUCCCUUGAAAACAAAUCACUCAGUAAAUUUCUCAAAUAGUUGGUGAGCCAUUUUCUCCAACAAGUUUGAUCAUACACAUGGCUCCCCACAAAAGCUCCAAUCUUAUCU